CACGUAGGCACCAAGCGUUGUCCGGAUUUAUUGGGCGUAAAGAGCUCGUAGGCGGUUCGGUAAGUCGGGUGUGAAAACUUUGGGCUCAACCCAAAAGACUGCACCCGAUACUGCUGUGACUUGAGUCCGGUAGGGGAGUGGGGGAAUUCCUGGUGUAGCGGUGGAAUGCGCAGAUAUCAGGAGGAACACCGGUGGCGAAGGCGCCACUCUGGGCCGGUACUGACGCUGAGGAGCGAAAGCGUGGGGAGCGAACAGG
RNAcentral lists this ribosomal RNA (256 nucleotides) under uncultured bacterium. Its description in RNAcentral is "partial 16S ribosomal RNA". It matches the Rfam family "Bacterial small subunit ribosomal RNA", at positions 524 to 776 of the family's 1533-position model. The record is from RNAcentral.